RNAcentral lists this ribosomal RNA (441 nucleotides) under uncultured bacterium. RNAcentral describes it as "partial 16S ribosomal RNA". It matches the Rfam family "Bacterial small subunit ribosomal RNA", at positions 338 to 795 of the family's 1533-position model. The record is from RNAcentral.
CCUACGGGAGGCAGCAGUGGGGGAUAUUGCACAAUGGGGGAAACCCUGAUGCAGCGACGCCGCGUGGGUGAAGAAGUAUUUCGGUAUGUAAAGCCCUAUCAGCAGGGAAGAAAGAAGACGGUACCUGACUAAGAAGCCCCGGCUAACUACGUGCCAGCAGCCGCGGUAAUACGUAGGGGGCGAGCGUUAUCCGGAUUCACUGGGUGUAAAGGGAGCGUAGACGGCCGUGCAAGCCAGGAGUGAGAGCCCGGGGCCCAACCCCGGGACUGCUCUUGGAACUGGGCGGCUGGAGUGCGGGAGGGGCAGGCGGAAUUCCUGGUGUAGCGGUGAAAUGCGUAGAUAUCAGGAGGAACACCGGCGGCGAAGGCGGCCUGCUGGACCGCGACUGACGUUGAGGCUCGAAAGCGUGGGGAGCGAACAGGAUUAGAUACCCCAGUAGUC